AUGUCAUUGCUUCUUUUUUCGAAAUGAAAGUCAUUACGUAAUGGGCUUGAUCGUUUGGCAUGGGGUUGGGCUUUGGACUUGGUAUGUUCGAGAGAAACGAAGGUCGUCUUUUUCUUUUAACAACUAAGAAGGUCGUCUCUCUUCUACCUGCGACGGCGCCCGAUGCUGUUUGGGAUUCUUUUCACCGUCUGAAACGAUCUGCGUAAAGUGUUCUUCACGGGGUGAUAAACAGAGCAACAGAUAGAGGAAUAAAACCUCUUCAUGUGGCUGCUCUAAAGCGACACAUAGAGAGGAUGCAGUUAUUCUUGGAUUUGGGAGCUUUUGUUGCUCAUAUCACUAGAAGAUGGAACCUCAAUAGAUUUUAUAGGUUUAUCUGCAUACUGUGGAGAUUCUGAAAAGUACAUAAUAAAACUGUCACAGGUUGCUGAAAAUAUAUAUAUUCCUACUUUCACAUCUGGAAAGCAUGAAGUUCUCAAUUUUUGAGGUUGUAUUUCCCCAUCUGAGAAAAAAGUGUGUGAGGGUGUAGCAAUAUGGUAGAAGUUUGCUGGAGGGAUUUACAAAGACUCAGAUGAGAAGUUUUGAGGUCACAAAAGGAGAGAUAACUCCAGCUGGAACAACAAGGGAGUAGAAACAAAGUAAUUGAGUAGGAGAGAAUGGAAAGCUUUCAAAUACACAGAUUUUCUUCUGAUGAUUCAGAAGAGAAAUGUAGACGACGCUUGCUACCUCGGCGAUCCAACGGUCCAUGAGUUCCAAGAAGCUUGCUCUGAGCACCACCUCCUGAAAGGCUAAGGCGUUGGAGGACAAGCCUUCUUGACCAAUGGUCCUUGCUUCUCACCUGAUGUCUCUAACUACAAGAAGUCAGAGUACCCUCACUCUCACCAGACUAAUAUGUUCGGUCUGCACGGCGCCGUUGCGAUACGCCUGAGAUGCAUCCACACUGGGGAUGCUGAUUUCGUCUUGGAGUUUUUUUUGCCUAAGGACUGUGAUAAUAUGGAGGAGCAGAGGAAAAUGUUGAACGCUCUUUUGACCAUUAUGGCUCAUGUGCCUAGGAGCUUGAGGACUGUUACGGAUAAGGAGCUCGAAGAAGAGAGUGAAGUGGUGGAAAGGGAGGAGGUAGUGACGCCUAAGAUAGAGAACACAUCAGAGCUACAUCAUAGUAAUCCUCAGAAUCUUGGAUUUGUGUUUGAUGGAGGAGACAAGCUGCCAAAUGAUGGUUUUGGUUUGAAAAGAGGUUAUCACUACACUAAAGAUACUAAUAUCAAUGAGAGCAACACUUUUCACCAGUGGUGGUUUUAAUAGUAUGGCUGAGAAGAAGCGUACAAAGGCAGAUAAAACCAUCACUUUGGAUGUUCUUAGACAGUACUUCGCUGGGAGUCUUAAAGAUGCAGCCAAGAGUAUUGGUGUGGUAUUGUUGUGUCGAUGGUGAUGCAAUAUGCAGAGAAUAUUGUAAAGGUAAGAAACUGGCAAAUGCAUAUUCAGUUCGCCAGCAGAUUCCCUUAAGUAGUAGUCACUUUUGUAUAUAAGGUUUAACGUUUAUCAAUAUGUACGUAGGUUUAUUCAACAUUAGUGCCACUGCUUCUCACUGCAGUUGUCUUUGUAUACUUAUUCAGUUUUCAUGUUUCAUUAACCUUCUUCCUGGGCUCAAGUAAGUUAACUGCAUUUGCCUCUGUUCUGUCAAUACAAUCCAUCUAACCAUUUCACAUAAAGUAGCCUAACAUACGAGCUGAUGUUUACUGUGUUCGCACUUUGCAGGAGAUGUGAAAUGGUCUACUGGAAUCUUUUAGGAUGAAAUGUAUAUAUUGUUAUGUAAUUUUUUUGUCCUAUUGAUAUGUAAAGCAAAACAAAGGAGUUUGCGUAUGAGAGAGAGAGAGAGAAGAGAGAGAGAGAGA
Long non-coding RNA from Brassica rapa (field mustard), 1889 nucleotides. RefSeq lists it as uncharacterized. The record is from RefSeq and is a predicted model, not a curated record. NCBI's taxonomy places the organism in Eukaryota, Viridiplantae, Streptophyta, Magnoliopsida, Brassicales, Brassicaceae.